RNAcentral lists this ribosomal RNA (1000 nucleotides) under Burkholderia sp. Its description in RNAcentral is "bacterial SSU rRNA". It matches the Rfam family "Bacterial small subunit ribosomal RNA", at positions 511 to 1475 of the family's 1533-position model. Lineage: Bacteria; Pseudomonadati; Pseudomonadota; Betaproteobacteria; Burkholderiales; Burkholderiaceae. The record is from RNAcentral.
GCAGCGCGGUAAUACGUAGGGUGCCGAGCGUUAAUCGGAAUUACUGGGCGUUAAGCGUGCGCAGGCGGUUUGUUAAGACCGAUGUUGAAAUCCCCGGGCUCCAACCUUGGGAACUUGCAUUUGGUGACCUGGCAAAGCUUAGAAGUAUUGGCAGAGAGGGGGGGUAGAGAAUUCCACCGUGUGGCACAUGAAAAUCUCGAAGAGAGAAUUGUGUGAGAAAUACCGAUGGCCGAAGCCAGGCCCCCUGGGCCCAUACUGGACGGUUCAAUGCAACGAAAGCGUUGGGGGAGCAAACACAGGAUUAGGAUAACCCUUGUUGUUCCACGCCCCUUAACGAUGUCAACUAGUUGUUGGGGAUUCAUUUCCUUAGUUAAGUUGCUUACGCGUGGAGUUGACCGCCUGGGGAGGACGGUUGCAAGAUUUAAACUUAAAGGGAAUGACGGGGAACCGGACCAGCGGUGGAUGAUGUGGAUUAAUUCGAUGCAACGCGAAAAACCUUACCUACCCCUGACAUGGUCGGAACCCUGGAGAGAUCCAGGGGUGCUCGAAAGAGAACCGAUACACAGGUGCUGCAUUGCUGUCGUCAGCUCGUGUCGUGAGAUGUUGGGUUAAGUCCCGCAACGAGCGCAACCCUUGUCCUUAGGUGCUACGCAAGAGCACUCUAGGGAGACUGCCGGUGACAAACCGGAGGAAGGUGGGGAUGACGUCAAGUCCUCAUGGCCCUUAUGGGUAGGGCUUCACACGUCAUACAAUGGUCGGAACAGAGGGUCGCCAACCCGCGAGGGGGAGCUAAUCCCAGAAAACCGAUCGUAGUCCGGAUUGCACUCUGCAACUCGAGUGCAUGAAGCUGGAAUCGCUAGUAAUCGCGGAUCAGCAUGCCGCGGUGAAUACGUUCCCGGGUCUUGUACACACCGCCCGUCACACCAUGGGAGUGGGUUUUACCAGAAGUGGCUAGUCUAACCGCAAGGAGGACGGUCAUCUACAAGUAUGAUUCCAAUGC